UGCNCAAGGGCUUACUGAAACUGGAGCAGA
Molecule: non-coding RNA, 30 nt
Filed under: Mus musculus (house mouse)
Lineage: Eukaryota; Metazoa; Chordata; Mammalia; Rodentia; Muridae
Source: RNAcentral